RNAcentral lists this ribosomal RNA (258 nucleotides) under uncultured prokaryote. Its description in RNAcentral is "partial 16S ribosomal RNA". It matches the Rfam family "Bacterial small subunit ribosomal RNA", at positions 524 to 782 of the family's 1533-position model. The record is from RNAcentral.
UACGUAGGUGGCGAGCGUUAUCCGGAAUUAUUGGGCGUAAAGAGCGCGCAGGUGGUUGAUUAAGUCUGAUGUGAAAGCCCACGGCUUAACCGUGGAGGGUCAUUGGAAACUGUCGACUUGAGUGCAGAAGAGGGAAGUGGAAUUCCAUGUGUAGCGGUGAAAUGCGUAGAGAUAUGGAGGAACACCAGUGGCGAAGGCGGCUUCCUGGUCUGUAACUGACACUGAGGCGCGAAAGCGUGGGUAGCAAACAGGAUUAGA